AAAACUUCGAGGACUCCAUUGAACCCAGGUCGUCGAUUUUUUGGAUGCAAAGCAUCAAAGGAAAAUGGUGCAUGUGGCUAUUUUAGAUGGAUUGAUCCGUCACUUGAAAAUGUUGAUGAAUCAUCCUUAAUGAAUAGAUUCAUAGAUGGUCAUAAUCCGAUUGAUCGACUAAAGAGAAAAGUGAAAGAGCUUGAAGAAGAAAGGGAUUCUUUGAAAUUUCAAUUGAAUGAAAAUGAAGAGAAGAUGAUGGUAUUGAACAAGAAGCUCAAGGAAGUUAAACUCCAAAGGGAUUGGGAAAAUGUCAAAUUUAACCGAGUUGUGAUUGUUUUUCUUUGUCUGCUAACUAUAAAAUGGUUCUUUAAUAUUGUGUAGUUCAAAAUUGUAGUACUUAAUUGUUUAGUUUUGCAGUAGUUAGGAGGCUAUUUCACGUAAUUAGUGUUGUACUUAAUUGGUCUGUUAAGUUCAUAUUUUAUAUCAAAUUGGAAGUUUGAAUGUGAA
This is a long non-coding RNA of Solanum tuberosum (potato), 498 nucleotides long. RefSeq lists it as uncharacterized. The record is from RefSeq and is a predicted model, not a curated record. The transcript is spliced from 2 exons. NCBI's taxonomy places the organism in Eukaryota, Viridiplantae, Streptophyta, Magnoliopsida, Solanales, Solanaceae.